Molecule: ribosomal RNA, 1309 nt
Filed under: Paenarthrobacter sp.
Lineage: Bacteria; Bacillati; Actinomycetota; Actinomycetes; Micrococcales; Micrococcaceae
Description: bacterial SSU rRNA
Rfam family: Bacterial small subunit ribosomal RNA
Source: RNAcentral
AUUAGUGGCGAACGGGUGAGUAACACGUGAGUAACCUGCCCUUGACUCUGGGAUAAGCCUGGGAAACUGGGUCUAAUACCGGAUAUGACCAUCUGACGCAUGUCAUGGUGGUGGAAAGCUUUUGUGGUUUUGGAUGGACUCGCGGCCUAUCAGCUUGUUGGUGGGGUAAUGGCCUACCAAGGCGACGACGGGUAGCCGGCCUGAGAGGGUGACCGGCCACACUGGGACUGAGACACGGCCCAGACUCCUACGGGAGGCAGCAGUGGGGAAUAUUGCACAAUGGGCGGAAGCCUGAUGCAGCGACGCCGCGUGAGGGAUGACGGCCUUCGGGUUGUAAACCUCUUUCAGUAGGGAAGAAGCGAAAGUGACGGUACCUGCAGAAGAAGCGCCGGCUAACUACGUGCCAGCAGCCGCGGUAAUACGUAGGGCGCAAGCGUUAUCCGGAAUUAUUGGGCGUAAAGAGCUCGUAGGCGGUUUGUCGCGUCUGCUGUGAAAGACCGGGGCUCAACUCCGGUUCUGCAGUGGGUACGGGCAGACUAGAGUGCAGUAGGGGAGACUGGAAUUCCUGGUGUAGCGGUGAAAUGCGCAGAUAUCAGGAGGAACACCGAUGGCGAAGGCAGGUCUCUGGGCUGUAACUGACGCUGAGGAGCGAAAGCAUGGGGAGCGAACAGGAUUAGAUACCCUGGUAGUCCAUGCCGUAAACGUUGGGCACUAGGUGUGGGGGACAUUCCACGUUUUCCGCGCCGUAGCUAACGCAUUAAGUGCCCCGCCUGGGGAGUACGGCCGCAAGGCUAAAACUCAAAGGAAUUGACGGGGGCCCGCACAAGCGGCGGAGCAUGCGGAUUAAUUCGAUGCAACGCGAAGAACCUUACCAAGGCUUGACAUGAACCGGAAAGACCUGGAAACAGGUGCCCCGCUUGCGGUCGGUUUACAGGUGGUGCAUGGUUGUCGUCAGCUCGUGUCGUGAGAUGUUGGGUUAAGUCCCGCAACGAGCGCAACCCUCGUUCUAUGUUGCCAGCGCGUUAUGGCGGGGACUCAUAGGAGACUGCCGGGGUCAACUCGGAGGAAGGUGGGGACGACGUCAAAUCAUCAUGCCCCUUAUGUCUUGGGCUUCACGCAUGCUACAAUGGCCGGUACAAAGGGUUGCGAUACUGUGAGGUGGAGCUAAUCCCAAAAAGCCGGUCUCAGUUCGGAUUGGGGUCUGCAACUCGACCCCAUGAAGUCGGAGUCGCUAGUAAUCGCAGAUCAGCAACGCUGCGGUGAAUACGUUCCCGGGCCUUGUACACACCGCCCGUCAAGUCACGAAAGU